AACCCGUAGAUCCGAUCUUGUGGUGACUUGAACCCACACAAGCUCGCUUCUAUGGGUCUG
RNAcentral lists this microRNA precursor (60 nucleotides) under Microcaecilia unicolor. RNAcentral's name for it is "Mun-Mir-10-P2c_pre stem-loop". It matches the Rfam family "mir-10 microRNA precursor family", at positions 8 to 66 of the family's 74-position model. From Rfam's summary of the family: In this case the mature sequence comes from the 5' arm of the precursor. The extents of the hairpin precursors are not generally known and are estimated based on hairpin prediction. Lineage: Eukaryota; Metazoa; Chordata; Amphibia; Gymnophiona; Siphonopidae. The record is from RNAcentral.